This 204-nucleotide ribosomal RNA is filed under the name Vibrio parahaemolyticus. Its description in RNAcentral is "partial 16S ribosomal RNA". It matches the Rfam family "Bacterial small subunit ribosomal RNA", at positions 793 to 995 of the family's 1533-position model. Lineage: Bacteria; Pseudomonadati; Pseudomonadota; Gammaproteobacteria; Vibrionales; Vibrionaceae. The record is from RNAcentral.
GUCCACGCCGUAAACGAUGUCUACUUGGAGGUUGUGGCCUUGAGCCGUGGCUUUCGGAGCUAACGCGUUAAGUAGACCGCCUGGGGAGUACGGUCGCAAGAUUAAAACUCAAAUGAAUUGACGGGGGGCCCGCACAAGCGGUGGAGCAUGUGGUUUAAUUCGAUGCAACGCGAAGAACCUUACCUACUCUUGACAUCCAGAGAA